GACGAACGCUGGCGGCGUGCUUAACACAUGCAAGUCGAACGGCAAGGCCCUGCUUUUGUGGUGUUCUCGAGUGGCGAACGGGUGAGUAACACGUGAGUAACCUGCCCUUGACUUUGGGUUAACUUCCGGAAGCUGGGGUUAAUACCCGAUAGGAGCUCCGGCUGCAGGGGGGGGGUUGGAAAGUUGCGGCGGUUGGGGAUGGAUUCGCGGCUUUUCGUCUUGUUGGUGGGGUAGCGGCUUACCGAGGCUUUGCCGGGUAGCCGGCAUGAGAGGGGGACCGGCGACAUUGGGACUAAGAGACGGACCAGAGUGCUACGGGAGGCAGCAGUGGGGAAUAUUGCACAAUGGGCGGAAGCGUGAGGCAGCAGCGCUGCGGGUGUGAUGCCGGCCUUCGGGGUGAAAACCGCUUUCGCCUGUGACGAAGCGUGAGUGACGGUAACGGGUGAAGAAGCACCGGCUAACUACGUG
RNAcentral lists this ribosomal RNA (468 nucleotides) under uncultured bacterium. RNAcentral's name for it is "partial 16S ribosomal RNA". It matches the Rfam family "Bacterial small subunit ribosomal RNA", at positions 28 to 507 of the family's 1533-position model. The record is from RNAcentral.